CAACAGAUAGUGAACUGUGCCUGGGCAGAGCAAAGCCUGAGGAAACUCUGGUAGUCCUGAGGUACAAAUCGAUCGUCCAGCCUGGGUAUGGAGUGAAAGACUAACUGAACCAUCUCGUAGCU
RNAcentral lists this non-coding RNA (122 nucleotides) under Pelodiscus sinensis (Chinese soft-shelled turtle). RNAcentral's name for it is "Eukaryotic large subunit ribosomal RNA". It matches the Rfam family "Eukaryotic large subunit ribosomal RNA", at positions 817 to 952 of the family's 3401-position model. The record is from Rfam by way of RNAcentral. Lineage: Eukaryota; Metazoa; Chordata; Testudines; Trionychidae.